RNAcentral lists this small nuclear RNA (103 nucleotides) under Triticum aestivum (bread wheat). The record is from RNAcentral. Lineage: Eukaryota; Viridiplantae; Streptophyta; Magnoliopsida; Poales; Poaceae.
GUCUCUUUGGGGACAUCCGAUAAAAUUGAAACGAUACAGAAAAGAUUAGCAUGGCACCUGCGCAAGGAUGACACGCACAAAUCGAGAAAUGGUUCAAUUUAUU